CUUGGAAACAUAUUACAGCCGUAUUAAUGGAUCCAGGUUUACGUGUUGUGCGUUUAUCGCAUUGCGAAUUCAGAACAGCGCCAAGAGACGUUCGUCUUGUCGUCCGCUCGUUGGAGACAGAUACGAAACUGCUUCAGUCGGGUAAUAUCCGUCGCCUCUGAAGAAAGGUAUCUCCGUCGUGCCGUAAGCCGCGAUAUACGAAAUCGUACAGCAGCAGGGAUCCAAGUUAUAUAUUGCGUCUCCAGUUAUCUGUCUGAACAUUUGUUGUUCUGUAGCACAAGCAAACAGUUAAGCAAAUGCCGAGACAACUUGUCCAGUUAAGGUACGCGUAUAAGUGGAAAACAAAACAAAACAUGAAAAUAUAUAAAAUAAGUAGAUAUACGUAUAAACAACACUGAUAACAUGACUACGAUAACCAACGACAAUUAAGGCAACAAUAGAGAUGGCAACAAUGACGAUAACGAAGAUGAAUAUGACGAUGAUAAUGAUAAUGACAACAGCAAUGACAACGACAACGCCACCAAUAACAACAACAACAAUGAUGUUGGCGAUGUUGAGCGGACAGCGACAAUGACAUCGACGAGAGAUAGGUUGGACUUGUUUUUAUUCCAUCCUUCGCUAGCUUUAUUUCCUGGACGUUUCCUUCUGUCAUCCAGUCACGUUCCCGGAGACACUUGUCUCGACAAAAUGUACGGCCGUGACGGCGGAAUGACGAGGCGAACCUGGCAACGUGUAACGAGAUCGAUCCACUUACUCCACUCGUGUUCUAUUUAAACGGGAAAUAAAAGAAUCUCUGGACGAAACACGAGACCAUACAAGCAAGGACAUGUGAAUCUUUGUAAUAAAAAAUAUGAAAUAAUAGAGAUUGUGUUUCGGUUAUA
Atta colombica is the source of this 881-nucleotide long non-coding RNA. RefSeq lists it as uncharacterized. Lineage: Eukaryota; Metazoa; Arthropoda; Insecta; Hymenoptera; Formicidae. The record is from RefSeq and is a predicted model, not a curated record. The transcript has 4 exons.